UCGCCUGUUUAUCAAAAACAUGUCUUUUUGUUUUAUAAUAUAAAGUUUAGCCUGCCCAAUGAAUUUUUAAAUGGCUGCAGUAUUUUGACUGUACUAAGGUAGCAUAAUCAAUAGUUUUUUAAUUGAAAGCUGGAAUGAAAGGCUGGACGAGAAAGAAACUGUCUCUUUAUAAAUAUAUUAAAAUUUUAUUUUUAAGUUAAAAAGCUUAAAUUAAAUUAAAAGACGAGAAGACCCUAUAGAGUUUUAUAUAAAUAUUAAAAAUUUAUUUAUAGAAUUUUAAAUAAAUUUUUAAUAUUUUUAUUUUAUUGGGGUGAUGAAAAAAUUUAAUAAACUUUUUUUUAAAAAAACAUAAAUGUAUGAAUUUUUGAUCCAAAAAUAUUUGAUUAAAAGAUUAAAUUACCUUAGGGAUAACAGCGUAAUUUUUUUAAAGAGUUCUUAUUGAUAAAAAAGUUUGCGACCUCGAUGUUGGAUUAAAAUUUUAUUUUAGGUGAAGAAGCUAUAAAAUUUGGUCUGUUCGACCAUUAAAAUUUUACAUGAUCUGAGUUCAAACCGGAGA
RNAcentral lists this ribosomal RNA (556 nucleotides) under Sinophilus yukoae. RNAcentral's name for it is "partial 16S ribosomal RNA". It matches the Rfam family "Bacterial large subunit ribosomal RNA", at positions 1796 to 2622 of the family's 2925-position model. The record is from RNAcentral. Lineage: Eukaryota; Metazoa; Arthropoda; Insecta; Coleoptera; Staphylinidae.